AUCCAGAUAACUUUGAAAACACCAUUUCUCGGACGAUCAUCGAAGUUAAGCAACGUCAAGCCUGGUCAGUACAUAGAUGGGUGACUGCUUGGGAAUAUCAGGCGUUGUGU
This is a non-coding RNA of Acanthosepion pharaonis, 110 nucleotides long. NCBI's taxonomy places the organism in Eukaryota, Metazoa, Mollusca, Cephalopoda, Sepiida, Sepiidae. The record is from the annotation of a GenBank genome assembly.